UCUUAAUACCUGUAUCGUGUUUCUACCUUGCAAGAGGUCUAAGAGAUAGGAAACAGGGAGAGUUAAAGAAAUCUGUUCCCAACAUAUGUUAAGUGGGAGAUAGAGGUAGCUUGUGAAACCUUAUCCAGGGUAAUUUUUUGCAGAACCCAAAUGACCCUACACUUGAAAAUAGAACUUUCUCAGACAAUUCAACUACUUAGAAAUUGCUCUUUUUCCUUGUUCCACUAAUCAGAAAUCUUAAGAAUAUUAUUUUUUCUCCUAUUCGUUCCAAAACCAAAGCACAAGUAUUCAAGUUAAUUGGGCCUAUGGCUGUAGCCUGACUAAAUCAAAAGAUUUAUGUAAAGUUGGAAGGAACCAGAGAUCAUCUAGUUCAAUGUUAAUUCCAGGUUUUUGACUAUUCCCUUAGCAGUAAAACAUUUUUGACCAUCUGCCACUAAUAUAUAUGUUUAUUUAUUAAAGUGACACAUAAGUAUUAACGUACUAAUAGUUGUAUAAGAGGUGCACAAAAAUAGAAGCCAAAUGAGAUAAAAGUAUUUAAUACAAAAAAAUUUUUGCUUUCACCAAUUAUAGUUUUACAUGAAAGCACUAUGGACAAUAUACUUCGUUGUAGGAAAUCUUGGUGGUUUAACCCUAGGAUAGAAUAAUUUAAAGGUCUAGUUCUAAGUUUGACCUAUUCUGAUUUUUAGUUUUAAUAGCUAUCAUUUUUUGGGAAAAAAUACAGACAUACAUAGAUCCAAAUGGAAGAAACACAUUCAUUGCUGCUGUAGCUACCAAAUCAUUUUGAGCCCAAUCCAAUUAUACUAAGGUUUUUGGUAAAACUUGGGUUACUGAAUCCCUCAUCUUGUCCUAUGUCCAUCUUUGUGUUUUUAUAUUUUAACAAAAGAGCUCAAAACUCAAAACUCUUCAUCUAAAAGACUGAAAUAGCUUAUAAAAUUCUUUGAGGCUUUUCAUGUUCAGAGUUUUUGUAGGCAACAUGCUUUUACAUUAUUAACAAAAGUGUAGUUUUACAACAUCUUGCUAAUUAUGAGAACUUCAUAGUAUUAGUAAAUAUCUAAUGAUAUGGUAUGUGCUUAGUCAUAAUUGUUAAUGAUAAUGGAUAUAAAUCCAUUUUUCAAAUCUUGUUAAUUUUG
RNAcentral lists this long non-coding RNA (1130 nucleotides) under Sarcophilus harrisii (Tasmanian devil). Its description in RNAcentral is "lncRNA (ENSSHAG00000023101.1)". Lineage: Eukaryota; Metazoa; Chordata; Mammalia; Dasyuromorphia; Dasyuridae. The record is from RNAcentral.